RNAcentral lists this ribosomal RNA (522 nucleotides) under uncultured bacterium. RNAcentral describes it as "bacterial SSU rRNA". It matches the Rfam family "Bacterial small subunit ribosomal RNA", at positions 987 to 1509 of the family's 1533-position model. The record is from RNAcentral.
UCCAGCGAACUUGGCAGAGAUGCCUUGGUGCCUUCGGGAACGCUGAGACAGGUGCUGCAUGGCUGUCGUCAGCUCGUGUUGUGAAAUGUUGGGUUAAGUCCCGCAACGAGCGCAACCCUUAUCCUUUGUUGCCAGCGAUUCGGUCGGGAACUCAAAGGAGACUGCCGGUGAUAAACCGGAGGAAGGUGGGGAUGACGUCAAGUCAUCAUGGCCCUUACGAGUAGGGCUACACACGUGCUACAAUGGCGCAUACAAAGAGAAGCGACCUCGCGAGAGCAAGCGGACCUCAUAAAGUGCGUCGUAGUCCGGAUCGGAGUCUGCAACUCGACUCCGUGAAGUCGGAAUCGCUAGUAAUCGUGGAUCAGAAUGCCACGGUGAAUACGUUCCCGGGCCUUGUACACACCGCCCGUCACACCAUGGGAGUGGGUUGCAAAAGAAGUAGGUAGCUUAACCUUCGGGAGGGCGCUUACCACUUUGUGAUUCAUGACUGGGGUGAAGUCGUAACAAGGUAGGCGUAGCGAG